This 490-nucleotide ribosomal RNA is filed under the name uncultured bacterium. RNAcentral describes it as "partial 16S ribosomal RNA". It matches the Rfam family "Bacterial small subunit ribosomal RNA", at positions 28 to 507 of the family's 1533-position model. The record is from RNAcentral.
GAUGAACGCUAGCGAUAGGCUUAACACAUGCAAGUCGAGGGGCAGCAUGGUCUUAGCUUGCUAAGACUGAUGGCGACCGGCGCACGGGUGCGUAACGCGUAUGCAACUUGCCUCACAGAGGGGGAUAACCCGUCGAAAGACGGACUAAUACCGCGUACACUCCAUCUUGGGCAUCCAAGGUAGAGGAAAUGAAAUUCGCUGUGAGAUAGGCAUGCGUCCCAUUAGCUAGUUGGUGAGGUAACGGCUCACCAAGGCGACGAUGGGUAGGGGAACUGAGAGGUUGGACCCCCACACUGGUACUGAGACACGGACCAGACUCCUACGGGAGGCAGCAGUGAGGAAUAUUGGUCAAUGGGCGAGAGCCUGAACCAGCCAAGUCGCGUGAAGGAUGACUGUCUUAUGGAUUGUAAACUUCUUUUAUACGGGAAUAACAAGAGUCACGUGUGACUCCCUGCAUGUACCGUAUGAAUAAGCAUCGGCUAACUCCGUG